This 303-nucleotide ribosomal RNA is filed under the name uncultured bacterium. Its description in RNAcentral is "partial 16S ribosomal RNA". It matches the Rfam family "Bacterial small subunit ribosomal RNA", at positions 507 to 807 of the family's 1533-position model. The record is from RNAcentral.
AGCAGCAGCCGCGGGAAUACGAACCGUGCGAACGUUGUUCGGAAUUACUGGGCGUAAAGCGCGCGUAGGCGGCUUGGUAAGUUAGAGGUGAAAGCCUGGGGCUCAACCCCAGAAUUGCCUUUAAGACUGCCGAGCUAGUAGGUGAGAGAGGUAAGUGGAAUUCCGAGUGUAGCGGUGAAAUGCGUAGAGAUGUGGAGGAACACCAGUGGCGAAGGCGGCUCUCUGGUCUGUAACUGACGCUGAGGAGCGAAAGCGUGGGGAGCGAACAGGAUUAGAUACCCCAGUAGUCCCUGUCUCUUAUAC